UACGAAGGGGGCUAGCGUUGCUCGGAAUCACUGGGCGUAAAGGGUGCGUGAGGCGGUACUUUAGUCAGGGGUGAAAUCCUGGAGCUCAACUCCAGAACUGCCCUUGAUACUGAGGAUCUUGAGUUCGGGAGAGGUGAGUGGAACUGCGAGUGUAGAGGUGAAAUUCGUAGAUAUUCGCAAGAACACCAGUGGCGAAGGCGGCUCACUGGCCCGUUACUGACGCUGAGGCACGAAAGCGUGGGGAGCAAACAGG
RNAcentral lists this ribosomal RNA (253 nucleotides) under uncultured bacterium. Its description in RNAcentral is "partial 16S ribosomal RNA". It matches the Rfam family "Bacterial small subunit ribosomal RNA", at positions 524 to 776 of the family's 1533-position model. The record is from RNAcentral.